This 219-nucleotide unclassified non-coding RNA is filed under the name Hevea brasiliensis (rubber tree). The record is from RNAcentral. Lineage: Eukaryota; Viridiplantae; Streptophyta; Magnoliopsida; Malpighiales; Euphorbiaceae.
UUAUCAAACCUGGAGAAUGCAAGAUUGGAAUUAUGCCUGGAUACAUUCACAAACCGGGGCGUGUAGGAAUUGUCUCUCGAUCUGGCACAUUGACUUAUGAGGCGGUCUUUCAAACAACUGCCGUUGGUCUGGGGCAAUCUACCUGUGUAGGUAUUGGUGGUGAUCCUUUCAAUGGUACAAAUUUUGUUGACUGCCUGAAGAAGUUUCUUGUAGAUCCUC